This 72-nucleotide transfer RNA is filed under the name Equus caballus (horse). It matches the Rfam family "tRNA". From Rfam's summary of the family: Transfer RNA (tRNA) molecules are approximately 80 nucleotides in length. Lineage: Eukaryota; Metazoa; Chordata; Mammalia; Perissodactyla; Equidae. The record is from Rfam by way of RNAcentral.
GCCCUGGUGGUCUAGUGGUUAAGAUGCAGUGCUCUCAUCACGGUGGCCUGGGUUCAUUUCCCAGUCGGGGAA